RNAcentral lists this long non-coding RNA (14276 nucleotides) under Marmota monax (woodchuck). Lineage: Eukaryota; Metazoa; Chordata; Mammalia; Rodentia; Sciuridae. The record is from RNAcentral.
GUCAGAUUUGUACCCCUUGACUUUGGACUUUCCUGCCUCCAGAACUGUAAGAAACAAGUCUCUGUUCUUUAUAAAUUAGCCAGUCUUAGGGAUUCUGUUAUCUCACAGAAAAUGAGUGAAGACAGCCACAUCACACCAGUCCCUGCUUCACUGCCACCAACUUCAUGAAAUGUGGUCACAUCUUUUCUGACUCUGGCCCUCCUGCCUCCUCCUAAUUAAGACCCUUCUGAUUAUACUGGGUCCAGUUGGAUCAUUUAGAAAAAUCUCCCCAUACCCAAAUCCUUAAUUUAAAUCACAUCUGCAAAAUCUCUUUUGUUAUUACAUAAGGCAACAUAUUCACCAGUGCUAGGAGUCAGGCAUGGACAUCUUGGGGAGGGGACAUUACUUAGUCAAGAUGGGGAUAAAAGAAGGAAACUGGGAUUGGACAGAUAAACUAAGAGAACUUCAACAUCUGCCAACUUUUAUUUCUUUACUUUAAAAAACCUGUCUGAGACAAAUGUGUCAAAUUGUAUUUUUCAGAUUAUGGAUGGUAGGUAUAGUUAUAUUUUCCCUGUACUGUUCUCUAUUAAGUUUUGUUUUUCAAAAUUACAAAAACGAAAAAUAGGGUUAAAAGGGAUUUUUUUUUUGUUCUUAUUUUAUACCUGUGGAAGGUGUCAUAUGUCACUGUGUGAAUCUAUAAGGGAAGAAUCAGUCUUUCUUUUUAAGAAAGAAAACAGGACCUUGAUUUCACAUAUGAAGGGACCUUAGAAAACAGCUGGGACAGUGGUUGUUAAAUUGCUGGAAAAGCCAUGGCUUAGGGCAGUUCUUCAAGGUGUGCUGAAGCUCAGUCCAGGGUCUAGAAACUCUUCUGUCUUAGUCCAGUUGCUGCUGCUAUAACAGAAUACCCCAGGCGAGGUAAAUCAUAAACAAUAGAAGUUUAUUUACCUUAGGUUCUGGAUGCUGGGAAGUCCAAGAUCAAGGGGCUGCAUCUUGCUGUGUGAGAUGAGGGUCUUCUUGCUGCAUCAUAACAUGUGAAAGGGAAAGUGAGCAUAUAUGAGGCAGAAAGAGAGGGCCAGAGGGGGCCAAAUUUAUUAACAACCCCCUCUAUCAACUUGCAUCCACAAACACAUUUCCUGAUAAUGACAUUAAUCCAUUCACAAGGGCCCUUAAUCACCUCUUAAAGGUCCCACCCCUUCAUACCAUCACAGUGGCAGCUGAUGAGUCCUGGAGAGGAUAUUCAAACCAUAGCAUCCUCCUCUUACCCAGCCUUAUCACUCCCACCCUUCCCUCAAUCAAAGCACCUCUGCUUUUACCUGUUUUUUUUUUUAUGUGAGCUCCACAUAAGAUGAUGUUAUUUAAAGCAAUCUUCUGUCAUUUAAAUACAUAGAAACACACACUUUUCAAACUGCUAAUCUAUCUAAGCUUCAUCACUGUGUGAUAAAGGAAUCCGAAUUAAGACAGAUGAAGUGACUUGCCUAAUAUUGAGAUAACAUAAAAGGUGUUGUUAUUGCUUAGUAAAUAUCUUUUCUUGGGGGUUGGAGGCCAGGCUGUUGUUAACCCACAGAGGAAAGCCUUAAGAUCUUCCAGUAACUGGAAUUGUUUUCUCUGAACACGUUUCCUGAAGUCAAGGCAGGGGUGUGGAGAUGAGGAAGGAGGGGGGUGUUUCUUGAGAAGGAGCGGGCCUUUGUUCAUCCUCCUGCCUCCGAUGAAUAAAGAAACUGCUGGAAAAAAAGGACUGUUAGGAAGAGGAGGAUAGAUAACAAAUCUUUACCUUUUAAAAAAAUAGUUUUAAAAAUACUGAUUCCUCAGAGCUCGGGUGAACAGAGGUAGGUUUUCCCCUUGGUGUCCUUUUACUCUCUCUUGUUUUUGUGAAAGCGUACGUUUUCCUAAUUCUGUUCCUUGAGUCUGCUUUUUGUCUGUCUGUCUUUUGUUUUACUUUUGUGUUUAUUUAUUUGAAGUGAAAGGACAGGACUGGGAGUCAUCUCUCUUCAGGCCUAUGUGGCUCUAUCCCAGAGGAGAUUCUCUUUGCCAAGUGUGGAGUGAGCAUUGUAUAGACGUUUGGAGGAUCCGUCAACACAGGAGAGCAACCCCAGAUCCUUGGGGCCUCAAAGCAGAGGGAGGAAUGAGCCAAUCCCAAAACAUCCACUUGGCCAUGUGCCGUGCUAGGUGACCUUUAGUGAGCUGUGGAGAGCCAGCAUUCACUUCUGGAGACUGUCAGUCUGAAGGUAUUGAAAAUUUUUUCAUUGGCACCUGACAAACGACUUGAUUUCUAAGUGAAGAGGUGCACUAAGAUGUUGCCCUCAACAUCUUAGGACUAGUCCUUUGUUGCAGGCAUUUGUAGACUAUUGUGGUUCCUGUUGGUGGCCUGCUCAACUUCUAUUUCUCCUUUCUUCCUUGCAAACAGAAUUCCAAUUUUGUUCAUCUAUUUUUUUUCUUUUGAGGCUCAAAGAUGACCCCAUCCCCAGUUCCAAAGGUAAGUAUUGAUCAAUCUAAUCAGCCAAUUAUGGUAUUUCCACUCUCCUUGCCAAGGAACGGUUAUGUAACACAGCUCUGGCCAAUGGGGCAUGAAGAAAAGUAUUUGGAGUUGGCAGAGCAUCUGGGAAAGAGUCACAGAAAGGGAUGGUCUUUCUCUUGAGUACUGUGUCUAGAUGAAAUUCCUGUAGCCAUUGUACUAUUAGCCUGAGAAUGAAUGUCAACACACUGCGAAGAUAGAACCCAAACUCCUGAGAUGAUCUCCUGGAGCUUUUGAGACACCUGUGGACUAGUAUGUGAUACAAUGAUUUCUUAUUGUUCAAAGUAUUAACUUGAGGGUUCUCUUUCUUGCAUCAGAAAUCAUCCUGAUAUCUCUACAUUAGUUCGUUUACUCUCACUGCUGUCCAGGUGGUAUCUAUUUUCUUUUUAUAGGUUAAGAAAUGCAUUUAAGUUAAUACAGUUAGUAAGCAGUAGAUCCCAAAUUCAAUCCAGUUCUCUGUUCAAGGACAUGGGACCCACCUCUUCCCCUGAGUGCAAGGGCAGAAUUUUGUUCACCAGUGUCUACUAAGUGCCUGUCACGUACUACAUAGUAGCCAUUGAAUGAAUUAGCCCAAUCCCAGCUUUAUUUUAUUACCUUAUACCUUUAAUUUAGAAAUAUCAGUUAACUUCUAUUUCCAGAAAAAAGAUCAGCUUUGCAUUGCUGUCUUCAAAAUACCUAACAAGAGCUGCUCGCGGUGGCGCAUGCCUGUAAUCCCAGCGGCUCCAGAGGCUGAGGCAGGAGGAUCGCAAGUUCAAAGCCAGCCUCAGCAAAAGCAAGGUGCUAAGCAACUCAGUGAGACCCUGUCUCUAAAUAAAAUACAAAAUAGGGCUGGGGAUGUGGCUCAGUGGUCGAAUGCCCCUGAGUUCAAUCCUGGUACCUUCCCCAAGGAAGAUGAAGACAUCCAGGACAUACCGCCAGUGACCCACCUCCUCCAUCCAUGCCCCCUCCUGCCUACACUUACCACCUACUCAGUCCAUUCAAACUAGAAUGAAUUGACUAGUUACAGCUCUCAUUAUCUAAUCAUUUUAUCUUUGAUUAUUCCUGCAUUAACACAGAAGCUUUGGGAAGACACCUCAGAUUCAAACCAAAACAACCAGAUAUCCUGAAAAAAUCCUGUCACUAUCAAGUUCCUAAAAGUACUUGAAAAUAAAAUUUAGGCUUUUAAAAUGCAUUGCAGUAGCACUGUAAUCCCAGUGAUUGGGAGUCCGAGACAGAAGGAUUACAAGUGUGAGGCCAGCUUCAGCAACUUAGUGAGGCCCUAAGCAACUUAUCAAGGUCCUGUAUCAAAAUAAAAAGCCAAAAGGGCUGGGGAUGUGGCUCAGUGGCUAAGUGCCCCAGGGUUCUAGCCCCAGUACCAAACAAUAAAACGAAAUAAAAUGUAUUGCUGAGCUGGUGUGUGUUUUUGUGUUUGCAUGCAUACCCACACAACUAAAAAGCAAGCAAGCAAACAAAAAACCUUAAGUAAUAGCACUGAUUCAGAGAGAUAAGUGAAUGCUAAAGCCAGGGAUACCCUGAGGAGGAAUCUGUCCAUUGCUGGUGACCACAGGGCCCACUGAAGUGAUAGAUAAGAUUGGACAGAUAAGAUGUGUACCCAAAAAGGCAAUCCUCAAUUCAGGUUUGGGGUCCAAAUUCAUUGUACUUGCAUAUUUUUGAAAAACCUCCAGUUAAGAACUUUAUUAAAAUUGCUCUCAGGUAUAUAACAUUUUGGAUGCCUAUAGGGAGCAAAUAUAAAUCUCUCUGGAUGUACACACCAUCCUCAGUCCUCAAAAACUCCAACAGGUAAAGAGCUGAUGAAUAUUAUAGGGAAGAAAAACCUUUUCCUGAACCCUCUUUUGAUUGGUAGCUAAGGCCUACAAAUUAAACCAACAAAAGCCAGAUUAACCACAGAAAACAACAGAGUUUAUUUAUCUGUGCUACACACACAUUAGAACUCGGUGAGGAGUAACUCAAAAGGAGAAAUUAAAAUUUGGGGCUUAUCUAACAUGUUAGCAGGUGCAUAGAAGGGGAAGAAGGUGUCCACAAAAAACAACUGACUAUUUGGAAAGAUAAAUAGAUUUUUAGGAGAACAAAAGGAGAUAAGAAAGCCUGUGAUGAUGUUUAUCUAUGUAGUUAUGUGCGGUCCUCCUGUCUUGUCAACCUAAAUUACACAGUAGAGAGACUGACUCCAGAGCCAAGAGUUUUUUUGGGAAGAGCAGAGCAUUGCAAUGGGAUCCACAUGCUUUGGUGGAUCAUGGGCACAUACAAAGAGAUUGGGGCAAAGGAGAUGCUUUUAAAGACGAGACAGGGGGAGGGAUGGAGGGAGGGAGGGGAAGGAAGGAAGAAAUCCAUGUAAGCUGUUUUGAAAGCCAAACCAUUGGAGUUGAAUGAGCCCGUUGGUGGAAUAGCUUUGUUAGGCAAGUGUCGUUGUACAAGUGCCUAUUUGUAAUACUUGGGUUUUGAGGAAAUCCGUUGCAUGGUUCUUAUCAUAUGCAUACAUGCAUGAAAGCAUCCUGGCUUCAUUUAGUUAGAAUUUGACAUUGGUGACUCCAUUUUGAUAUUGCUAAUUUCCACAGUCCCCUCCAGGGGCAUUAAACUACUACAAGAGUUUGGGGUAGGUUUGAUUCUCCUUUCUGGGGGUAGAUGUGCCUUGAAGAGGAACUUAUAGCAACCUUAUUUCUCAGAAGUGGCUGUUUUUAGUAGGAUAAAGGAAACUUCAAGAAGGCCUGCUUCUUGACUCUGUUAAAUCUUACAUUUAUUCUUCAGCUUGAACUAAGCUUUAUAUCAACUCUAGGGUUCUGUGUGGUUUCCCACACUAUAAAGUCACAGUGGUUGUAAACAAACCAUAAAAUUCAUUAAAACAAAGCACUAUGAGUGAAAGUCAGCAGAAACAAUAAACAGAAACAUCACUUUGCAAAUAUUUCAGAUAUCAGAAUUAUAAGACCAGAAUAUAAAUGAAAUACAUUUAGUAUCUGUGGAAUGAGGAAAGAAGUCUUAGGAGCAGGAAAAAAAAAAAGGGUGAGAAAAUUAAGGUCUUGAACUUGUAUCUUUCUUGAGAGGUACAGUUAACAUAUAUUAGUUAUUAAAAUAAUACAACAGUAUAUAGGAGUCAUAAAGAUUCUAGCAAUGCAAAAUGUAAGGAAAUUUGAAUUUGUAAAUUUGAAAGUUAUUGGAUGAUUCUAGUAGAAAAAUAUGAAGUCUUUAGAGCACACCUUUUAGGAUUAUGUGAUUCUAAACUUUCAUUGCCUUUUAUCUCUUUUAUAGCUCUGUAAAUAGUAGAGAACUGAUAGCAAUGCAAAAAGAUUCUUGUCUAUAAAUGUGCAAAUGAGUUUUGUUCAGUGAAGGGGCAAUAAACCUUUUUCCCACCUUAGAAAAAAGUUUUGCAUUCAUUUCAGUAUUUCUGAUCUGUAAAUGUGUCUUUUGUAUUCCCUUGAAAUCAUUUUAAUAUUGUUAAGUCAGACCAUUUCAUAUGAAGAUGCCUCCAUACUUGGGUCCUUCCAUAAAGAUGAACUUCAACCUCACUUAGUAUGUAACUGAAAGUCUAAUUUAGGUAUAUAUGUAUAUACAUAUUAAUGCUAGGGAUUGAACCCAGCUGAUGCUAGGCAUCAGCUCUACCACUGAACUACACCCCCAGCCCCUAGAGUAUACUUUUGUAACAAGCAGCAGAAUCUCAACCAAUCACAACAGCCAAGCUUCAGUCAAUCACAGGAAGCAGACAGAUCAGACCACAUUCAAAUAAGGCAUAUGUUGAGUUGUAACCCAUCCAGCUGUCACUGUACCUCACUUCCUAUUUCUGACCACAAAAUGUUACUUGACCAUGUUGCAGGUCAGAGUUCUCUGAACCUGUUCUGGUUCUGAGGACCCCUCCUUUCAUCAUUCUUUGCUCAGUUAAAGUCUGUAAAAUGUCGUUUGUUUCAAGUUUUUCUGUUAACAACACGUACCUAAUCCUUUCAUUAAUAACAUGCUUUAAAAAUCCUUAGCAUAUGCUCAUUUUGUAUCUGUAAGAGUCACAGUUUGACCUUUUUAAAAAGUUUGUCCUUUAAUAAGUAGUAUAAAGAAUAAUAAAAAUAACCUGAAGAGUAGAAAGACUCCUUUAUCCUCAAACCUUGGGUAACCCCUAAGGAUCUGGUAUUCCUGGCAGCCAAGUGAUCAAUGAGAGGUCACUGGGAACUCCUGCUAUGUUCAGAGUGUGCUGCCCUCCUCCUGAACAGACUCUAUGGGUUUUCCAAGCCGCUGCUCUCAAGGUUGGCAGUAUGUCCAGCUCUCUUUGGUGCAGGAAUGCCUGGGUUCAAGUCAUGAUUUGCCACUCAAAUCUGAGAGACUUGGGCAAGUCAUUCAAACCUUCUCUGUUUCAAUGUUCUCAUCUAUAAAAAUAAGGGGAAUAAUGCAACCUACUUCAAGGGGUUCAUGGAAAGAUUAAAUGAGUAACAUAUAUAAAUCCCUUGGGACUAGUACCUGGCCUAUUGGUAAAGGAAAGUUUUAGCCAAAGCUAUUAUUUUUUCCUCCUAAUUCUAAUACCUACUAUUAGAAUCGACACUGAUACAUGAAAUCACACAGUCUGCGUGAUCUAGAUGUAACUCCAGCAGAGAUGAUAUUUGGUUAUUUCUAAAUAUUCCUAGAGUUGGUGGCCAGCCCCACUGGGUAUAAAUGGGGGUAGCCCAGUGAAGGAGGCCAUUCACAAACUGAUCUGUGGUGUCUUGAAGCCAAAUAAGGAUGACCUUUGCCUUAUUUAUAGGUUCAAAUUCUUCUAAGGAUGAACGACUACCUGCUGUUUUAGCAAAAGAAAAAUACCCUGAGGACACCCCAGGCUGGAGCUGCCUGUGAACAGCAUCCCUCUUUGAGGUGCCUUCACAAAGCACCUUUCACAUCUCCAGUGUGUACUUCUUGAAAUACCCUGCAUAGUGCCCAGCACAUAGUAGGUGCCUAAUACAUUUGAAACACAACUUUGAACCCACCAGGAAAAUCACUUAUGAAAAAGAUAGCUAUCAUUCUUAUGUUUCUUUAAAGAGCAUUUUCGUACACCUAUUUCUUUAACUGUCACAAUUUAUUUGGUUAUGAGGCAGGAAGGAAAAAAAAUCUUAUUACAUUUUUCCAGGAAACAAAAAUAAAUAAGCUGAGGACCAGGGCACUUGAGUAAAUGGCCCGAGGUUGGUACAGUUAAUAAGUGGAAGGUUUGUGUCUCGAAUUCAGAUUUCAGAUUCCAAAUCCCAGAAGCUUCCCUUGCCUGGGAAAGGAGCUGGGAAACUGUUAGUUCCUCUCUUCCCACCACCCCAGGCAGGCUAAUCAUGGACAGAGCCAUCUUCUAGAGGAUGGUAGCAGAGCUAUCCUUCUGUAAGUAAGUCUCAUUGCCAGAGCUAUGACAAGCCACUCUACAGAGUUGAUAACCAUGGCAGAUGAGCCUCUUGGUGCUUGGUACUGUGCCAGAAGCUAGGGAUGUGAAGAGAAAUAAGACAGGUGCAGGGGUGUUGGUGCACUCCUGGAAAAUGGUAAGGAAGCAACUAUGGCCAGAAUUCAGGCAAAAUGUCAACGAGAACUCAAAAAUAAGGGAAGUUAUAGUGUGAAUAACAUAAGAGACAAUUGCAAAGAAAGCUAUAUUUGACUUCCAAGCCUAUCUGCCUCCUCCCAUUCUCCGUGUCCUUGUUAGAAUGUCUUAUGGCUAGAAAGAUCUUAGAACACCUGGUUGUAUCUUGAAAGAGGUGACACCAAGUAUAGAGGGGAGAUUUUCCCUUAAAGGGCUUCCUUCUUACCGGGAUAGAUGCAGGACUGCUGCGGGGUAUUUGAGGAUGGGGUAUGGGAAAUUAGGAGGGGAGAAUCAUGGUUUCUCAUCUCGGUAGAUGACCCUCAGAGCCUCUUUUGACAUGGCCUUUGUAUCAUACUCUGUGUGUGAAUCUGUGCAUUUAAUGCUGAGAAUUGGAUCAUUCCAUCAUAAGACUGUAAAUCAGAGAGUGAGUGGAGGGAGAUGUCAGAGACUCUCUUGGCAGGAUGAGAGGGAACACCACCACUGCCACUCCCUCCAAUCACAGAGUUCAUCUCCCUUUUCCAAAGGGUCCAGCCUAGGUGGUAUCUUUUUGUUCCACUGGCAGGCAGGGAAUACAUCUUAAGUUAAGGCUCCUAACUACUUGAAAUGAAAAGGAAUUCAUUUUUCAGUAAAGAAGACACGUAGGGACCCCUCUCCACUGCCUAUCUCUUCCCACCCAGUUUCUCCACUACUGACAUCUCUGGGCUAGACCAAUACUUAGGGAUCUGCCCACCAAAGUCCUGGCAGCUGUUCCUCCUGCAGAAAAUUCAGUUCCAUACAAUGUCAGCUGCAUGGCUAGACAGCUCAUGGCUGCCAGAACUCUACCUCCCCUCUUCUCAGAGGGCCAAAGGGUUGAAUGAAGUGAGCACUCCUUCUUGACCACAUCGACUGACCACUAGGCACUGCUGAGCCUAACUUCAUCCUUAUCUCAAACUUAAAGAAAGCUAUAAUGAUCUCUGCUAUACAGAUGGGGAAACUGAGGAUCAGAGAGAGACCAGGGCCUCCCCCAGUUAACAUAGCCAGCAAGCAAUGGGGCCAAAGUUCAAUGCUAAAGCCCAUGCCUUUCCCACCACGUUGUUCGGCCUCCGAGUGUUUUUGGCACCACAAGGAUAAGGAUUUAGUAUUCUGAUACACCAGUGCCAGUGGAGGCAGGGGACAAUUGGGACUUGUUUGCAACCCCUCCCCCUCUUGGGAAAAUAAGUCGGCUUGUCCCCCAGGGUUUCCCAUUCCGUGUAAGGCUGGGCCCUUGUAUUUUAACAAACUCUCCUAGUGAUUUCUGAGGUGAGAUCCUGGUGAAGGGCAAGGGCCGAGGAGCCAUUCAGUCAUGCUGUGUGCUCCACUGGAUUACUGAGUGCCAACCCUCCAAGCACUUUGUGCUCUCGCUUUAUUUAAUCCUCCUGAAAACCCUUUUGGGUUAAAUGACUUUUAUAUUCAGUUUUAAAAUGAGGAGUUUGAGAAAAAUUUCAGUAAACUUUCCAAGAUGCCACAGCUGGAAGCCCACAGACCAGGGCCUUAACACUGGCCAUACAGCACCAGAGAUGGCAGGCUUAGCUGCAUUAGCCCUGCUUCAUUUUAACAGUCUUGUGGAGAAAGUGACUUUUCUCUGGUAAAAUAAAUUAUCUCGUAGGAAUAACUCACUAAGACUGAGGUUGAUAGGAUGUUUUGAGACAAACAAAAAAUUUGACAUUUCCCUCCUCUCCCAUCCCAAAUCAGAAGACACAGGUAAGCCAACACCUAUGUGGAUAGGCACUCACCUGCUCCCCGCACUCCUGGCAUUCAUCUGUUACUUCUUUACUAUCUGAGUCUCCUAUUACUCCCAGACCCCGUAGACUUUUGCUGCCCAGAGUCCCCCAGAAAUAGUGGGUGUGUUAAAAUGAAUCACAAAGAGAAAGAUUAAGAAACAACCCCUUUACUGGGAAGCACUGAUACGGUUUUAGAUUUCAAAAUUUCCCUGAAAAUAGAUCAUUCAGUCAUGCAGAUAAUAAUACAUUAUCUGAAAACACCAAAUACUUGUGCACACUUUAAGCAAAAAAGUUCAUGCAUACUCUGAAGUAUUUGGAGAUGUUGUGAGAAUGUGCUAAUAGAGCCCAGGGUUUAAAAAUCAGAUGUUGAAAGUCCAUCUGACGUGGGUGCUGAGCACCUACUCCACUAAUUUCAAGCUAUGUAUCCUUGGGCAAGUUCAUGGCCUCUCUGUACCUUGAUUUCCUCCUCUACAAAAGGAGAAUGAUACAAUACCUGCCUCAUGGAGAGUCUUUGAGGACCAAGUGAGGAAAUCACUUAGCUCCUCCUUCUGUGGCUCUGGAGGGAAACAGUAACCCUCUGGGGAGAAAUGGGCCCCCUUUCUCUUCUCUGCUUUCCUCCCUCCUCCUGGCAAUGACCUACCUCCUUCCCUCCCACACAAGGACACCUGAUUCAGUGCAGUCUUUUCCUCCUUCAAGGCAUCUAGCCCAAAGGAUUUGCCUCCCCUCCUUGUACGUGGGGAGUUAUGUUCUUGGCUUUGAGACAGAUUUCUUAAAUUGUCUUCCGCAGUUGCAAAUGACUCAGCCGUUGCUUAGGGAUUUAAUUAACCAGCAAUAGGAGCCUUGAAAGAUACAAGCCUCUGAAGACUUUCUCCCUUCCUGGGUUGGCUGUGAGCAGGGUAAGAAUGGAAUAAGUCACCUUCUAGAACUAGAUAAUCCACUAUGGAAGCCACUGGCCAUGUGUAGUAGCUACUGAGCACUUGCAAUAUGGCUGUCCAAAAUAAGAUGUGCCAUAAGCAUAAAAUAUUCGCAGAUUUUGAGAAUUUAUAUGAGAAAGUAAAUAUCUCAAUAAUUUUUAAUGCUUAUUAUAAAAAUAAUAUUUUUGAUAUAUUGAUUUUACUUUUUUAAAUGUAGCUAUUAGACCAUUUAAAAUUAUUAAAUGAUGGUUGGUGCUGUUCUAGAAUAUUAGCAAUUUAAUGAUUUAAUAACAUGCCAACACAUUUUGAAAGUGAUUUUUAACAUGUAUCUAUGUUUUAGUCCGUCUUAUGUUGCUAUAACAGAAUAUGUGAGAUGGUGUAGUUUAUAAAGAAGAGAAAUUUAUUUUCUCACAGUUCUGAAGGCUGGAAAAGCCCAAGAUCAAAGUGCUGGCAUUGGUGAGGUUCUUCCUGCUGCAUUCUCCAGGAAGGGAAAGAGAGGCAAAGAGAGAGGGGUGUGGGGUCGGAGAGAGAAAGAUGAAUUCACUUCCACAAGCUCUUUUUAUAAGGACAUUAAUCCAUUCAUGAGGACAGAACCCUCAUGACCUAAACAUCUUGCUUAAGGUCCCAUUUCACCACACUGUUGCACGGGAGAUCAAGUUUCCAAUACUUGAGUUUCUGGGGGACACAUUCAAACUAUAGUAAUCUACUUUUAUCUUUAUGGAACAGAUAUUGUUACAAACAAUUUUUGGAUGAGGCCCAUUGAUUCAGAGUUUGAACUACCAGUGAACUUCUGUGGCUGGAGCAGAUGGAAGCCGGGAAAUAAUGAGAGGGAAGAACACUGACUUGGGAAAGCAAGAAACCUGGUUCUCAGCCUUGGUCCCUCACUAAAUUGCUGUGUGACCUUGGGCACACAGCUGGACCUCAGAUUCUUAACUUAAAAAAAAUGGAGACGCUAGCUGGAUAAUAAUUUAAGAGUGGGAGAUGAGUAGCCUGGGGAACAAAUAGAGCCACAGAUUUGUUUGUUGUUAUGUGUUUUGGCCACCAUUAUGUUUUUUAAAAUUUUUAUUUGUUUGCUUAUUUAAUCACGUACUUUCAGGGUGGAGACUGUGGCUUCUAUUACUUUCCACAUCUCUGGACUCUCUCUUUACCAUUUCACACUCUUAGCAUUAACCAGCCUCAAAAGACUGGAGGCAUUUGAGUUUGCAAUCCUUGGCUUCGAAUUUUAAGUUCCAGGGAGAUGCUAAUGCUGACCAUUCUUAAUAGUGGCAUAGGAAGAGGUCCUAAGUGGUGGUCACCAAUGUGUUCCAGGACACAUUUUAGUUUCUCCUGCUUAAUCCUCUUUUUGUAAGAUUUUGAAUUUCCAACAAAAACAGCACCAUAUUCUCCUAUAGCAACACAGAAUAUUAAACUAAAGGGAAACUUACAGAUGAGAAAACCAACAGAAACAAGGUAUAUAGUGCUUUUAUACUUGUAUAUGUCAGUGAUUGUUUAUCACUAUCUUGAAAAAUAAAAUUUUAAAAUAAGAUAAAAUACAAUUGUUCUUUAUUCUGUCUUAUUAUUUACUUGCAGUUUCUUGGCAUGAAAACAUUUUCACAUCCAGGUAGAUUUUUUUAAAUAAAAAUUCAAUGAGAUGACUGGUUAGAAAAAGAAAACAGAAUUCCCCUUUCCUUGUGAUUACAUAUAAAACUUGCAACAAAAAAUAGGUAAAUGUAACCCAAGCAAUGAAAGCAAAUAGCUAAAAGAUUUUAAAGCACUGAGAGAAGUCCUUUUUGCAGGGAUAAUAGCAAUUUGGAUGUGAGCUACUGCUUUUGCAUAUUAAAUACAAGUCUUUGUCUCCUCCACCUCAAUAGUGAGAGAAAGCAAAAUCUGAUUUGAUGGGGAAAAAGGAGAAGACCAUAAAUAAAGGGGUGCGUUGUUUCCAUGGGGGACAAUCUUCCUAGUGGCAUUCUGCCCAGAAGCCCUUUCUUCUUGGCUAGACCACAAGGCCAGGAUAAAUUGAGUAACUAGAUGAAUGGUUGAGACUAGAGAGGCUUGGUAGUGACUACGAAGUUGAUCAACACCCUCAGGGCCCAGACUUGAGCUCAGGUGCUGUGAGGUCAGUGUUGUGGUUGCAUAAAUCCACUCAUGGAAACUCCAACAGUGAUUGCUCUCCAGAGAAACUCAAGGUCACUACUAAAGGAGACCCUCCGAAAUGAGCGAUGAGCAAGUCACAGGCACCCUGGAGAUAUCUAAAAAUAUAAUCACUGCUGAGCACUAGUCCCAUAACAGAAGUCUAAACUAACCUGGAGACAGGAGUAACUCCUUGCAAUUUUCCCAGACACAGUGCACAUCACAACCAUGACCUCUACCCCAGGAAGCCCAUGCCCAAAAAGGUGAAAAGAAAAUCUGUUUGUCAUCUAUAGAAAUAUAGAAAGGCAAAUGCUGUGUAGGUCACCCUAGGGAUUUGGGGAGAGUUGGCAAAAUGGCAAAAUCCAAUUCAACCAAGUGAAAUUCAGGAGAUGAAGAAAAUGAAUAGUGAAAUGGUUUGGCAGAUACAGGUUUUCCCAACUUGCUACGAUUAUUUCUUCCUCUACUUAUAUAUUUACUUUCUAGCGAAUCUACUUCCUCUACUUAUAGAUUUCCUUCAGAAAUAUACUCAUCUUUCAAGGUGGACAAAGAAUCCUGCAUCUCCCAAGAUGCUUUCUCUAAUUCUCCAGCUACAGGAAGGCUGCUUUCCCUAUCUGUAUCAUUCAUUUGCUGAUAUGCUUAACUGUGGCCUUGAACUGAUUGUUAAUGCAUUUGUAUGUGCACCUUGCUUUCCAGACUAGGCUACAGGAGCUUCCCACGCAGAGCUGGAUGUGUCACUGUGGCUCAAUGAGCUGAACAGAGAGUCAUCAAGAAGAGCUGAGGAGAGCAGCCUCUUUGGGAGCCAUGACCCUGGGCCUCUCUGCUUCCUCUUCCCAGCAUGCCCUGAGACUCCACUCAUGACUCCUUCCUGGCUCCCUCCUUGUCCAGACUGGAACACCAUUGGGCCCACUUGCUUCUCUCCUCACCAGAGGGUUGAGAGAACCCAAGAGAUGUCUAUCUUUGUAUACAAGAAUUUUUAUCAGAGAAGAGAAUGCAUUAUUAGUCAUCUAUGGGUGUUUAUAAUAGAAAUUACCAUUAUCUAAACUACUAGGAUUUCCUUUGGGGUAAAAAAAAGUCUUUUACUGUGGAAUAGAGCUGAACCUUAAUGAAGGAGGAGGAUGAAGAGAAGGAGGAGAAGGAAAGAGGAGAACAGUUUUCCACAGCCUCUCUCUGGGUAUGGUUACUAGGCAUCUAAGGACUUUUGCCCUUUUUGGGGAAAAACAAAACAAAACAAAACAGAUUUUUAAAAAAAUAUUACUUACAAAAUCCACAAGUUAAAUGCAGUUGGAUCCACAAAACAAGCAUUAAAUAUAAAAAUACAGUCUAUAUCCAACUAUACAUUUAAAAUGGGUAAGAUGGUAAAUUUUAUGGUAUAUAUCUUUUACCACAACUAAAAAAAUUUCUUUUAAAUACAAUCUGUGCAUGAUACCAAGCAUUAAAAUAAGGGUAGCAAGUUGAAAAUGAAAAAUGCAAGAGCACAAAUUUAUGAUGGAAGGGGGGCUAAGCUCUCUCCAUCUACCUGAAGGGUG